RNAcentral lists this transfer RNA (82 nucleotides) under Araneus ventricosus. It matches the Rfam family "tRNA". Rfam says of the family: Transfer RNA (tRNA) molecules are approximately 80 nucleotides in length. Their secondary structure includes four short double-helical elements and three loops (D, anti-codon, and T loops). Further hydrogen bonds mediate the characteristic L-shaped molecular structure. tRNAs have two regions of fundamental functional importance: the anti-codon, which is responsible for specific mRNA codon recognition, and the 3' end, to which the tRNAs corresponding amino acid is attached (by aminoacyl-tRNA synthetases). tRNAs cope with the degeneracy of the genetic code in two manners: having more than one tRNA (with a specific anti-codon) for a particular amino acid; and 'wobble' base-pairing, i.e. permitting non-standard base-pairing at the 3rd anti-codon position. The record is from Rfam by way of RNAcentral. Lineage: Eukaryota; Metazoa; Arthropoda; Arachnida; Araneae; Araneidae.
GGUAGCGUGGUAGAGCGGCCCAAGGCGCUGGUUUAAGGCACCAGUCUCUUCGGAGGCGUGGGUUCGAAUCCCACCGCUGCCA